AUACGUAGGGUGCGAGCGUUGUCCGGAAUUACUGGGCGUGAAGAGCUCGUAGGUGGUUUGUCGCGUCGUCUGUGAAAUUCCGGGGCUUAACUCCGGGCGUGCAGGCGAUACGGGCAUAACUUGAGUACUGUAGGGGAGACUGGAAUUCCUGGUGUAGCGGUGAAAUGCGCAGAUAUCAGGAGGAACACCGGUGGCGAAGGCGGGUCGCUGGGGAGUAACGGACGCUGAGGAGCGAAAGCAUGGGGAGCGAACAGGAUUAGAUACCCUGGUAGUCCAUGCCGUAAACGGUGGGCGCUAGGGGUAGGGGUCUUCCACGACUUCUGUGCCGUAGCUAACGCAUUAAGCGCCCCGCCUGGGGAGUACGGCCGCAAGGCUAAAACUCAAAUGAAUUGACGGGG
Molecule: ribosomal RNA, 398 nt
Filed under: uncultured bacterium
Lineage: Bacteria
Description: partial 16S ribosomal RNA
Rfam family: Bacterial small subunit ribosomal RNA
Source: RNAcentral